UCAGGUGUAGCCUGGGUACUUGGUGCUGCUUUGAGAGUGUCUGUGUUGCGAGUGUCUUAGUGCCUGAGCCCGGGGAAAUGAGUUCACUCCUCCUCUGUCUGCUCCUUGUAGUCUUUUAUGCUGUGCUGAGGCUCGCCAGAUCUGAGGCUUCUCCGAGGAAGAGGAGGCACAGAGCCAAAAAGAAGAAACCGAAAGCUUUUGGGUGCUGUGCGGAAGAGCUGGAGGCUGGUGCAUCC
Molecule: long non-coding RNA, 236 nt
Organism: Mauremys mutica (yellowpond turtle)
Lineage: Eukaryota; Metazoa; Chordata; Testudines; Geoemydidae
Exons: 3
Source: RefSeq, a predicted model, not a curated record